GUGCUCUGCUUUUGCCAGGAUUUACAUCAAUGGAUCACGCAGCAUCCUUUUAGUUUUUUCAAAUGCUUUUCCUGUCUAUUGUGUUAAGAUCAUGUUUGGAAGGGCACCUCCUGAGCUCCUUCCCUGCAGCAAUACUGUAGCGGAGUUGGGAGAAGCCCCAAAUAUGCAGCUCCUCCUUUUUCCAGUUCAUUUUUGCUGGAGCCAGAGACAUUUUUCUCCCAGCCACAGCAUGCUACAGACAAACAGCGUUGCACAGUGCUUUAGGAACCAGAGCCGGAGCCCCUUGGAACAGCACCAAACAGG
This 303-nucleotide unclassified non-coding RNA is filed under the name Zea mays. RNAcentral's name for it is "misc RNA Zm00001eb285150". The record is from RNAcentral. Lineage: Eukaryota; Viridiplantae; Streptophyta; Magnoliopsida; Poales; Poaceae.